RNAcentral lists this ribosomal RNA (335 nucleotides) under uncultured Halobacteriovorax sp. RNAcentral describes it as "bacterial SSU rRNA". It matches the Rfam family "Bacterial small subunit ribosomal RNA", at positions 271 to 597 of the family's 1533-position model. The record is from RNAcentral. Lineage: Bacteria; Pseudomonadati; Bdellovibrionota; Bacteriovoracia; Bacteriovoracales; Halobacteriovoraceae.
AGGCAACGAUGCAUAGCUGGUCUGAGAGGACGAUCAGCCACACUGGAACUGAGACACGGUCCAGACUCCUACGGGAGGCAGCAGUAGGGAAUAUUGCGCAAUGGGGGAAACCCUGACGCAGCAAUGCCGCGUGAGUGAGGAAGGCCUUCGGGUUGUAAAGCUCUGUCAGAUAGGAAGAAUUGCCAAUGAUCUAAUAGGUCUUUGGAGUGACGGUACUAUCAAAGGAAGCACCGGCUAACUUCGUGCCAGCAGCCGCGGUAAUACGAAGGGUGCAAGCGUUGUUCGGAUUUACUGGGCGUAAAGCGCGCGCAGGCGGAUUUAUAAGCCAGAUGUGA